Molecule: ribosomal RNA, 373 nt
Filed under: uncultured eukaryote
Lineage: Eukaryota
Description: partial 18S ribosomal RNA
Rfam family: Eukaryotic small subunit ribosomal RNA
Source: RNAcentral
CAAUAGCGUAUAUUAAAGUUGUUGCAGUUAAAAAGCUCGUAGUUGAAUUUUUGCUUGCCGCCGAUGUCGGAACUUCCGUACGUUCGGCGGCGUGCAUCCUUGGGUGGAACCUGUGUGGCAUUAGGUUGUCGUGCAGGGGAUACUCAUCGUUUACUGUGAAAAAAUUAGAGUGUUCAAAGCAGGCUUACGCCGUUGAAUAUAUUAGCAUGGAAUAAUAAGAUAGGACCUUGGUACUAUUUUGUUGGUUUGCGCACCGAGGUAAUGAUUAACAGGGACAGUUGGGGGUAUUCGUAUUCCAUUGUCAGAGGUGAAAUUCUUGGAUUUCUGGAAGACGAACUACUGCGAAAGCAUUUACCAAGGAUGUUUUCAUUAA